GCCCGCGAAGCUCAACUGGAUGAGCGCCCGGCUACGAACCGGGAGGAUGGGAGUUCGAGUCUCCCCGUGGGUGCCA
RNAcentral lists this transfer RNA (76 nucleotides) under Myxococcales bacterium. Its description in RNAcentral is "tRNA-Arg". It matches the Rfam family "tRNA". Rfam says of the family: Transfer RNA (tRNA) molecules are approximately 80 nucleotides in length. Lineage: Bacteria; Pseudomonadati; Myxococcota; Myxococcia; Myxococcales. The record is from RNAcentral.